UGACGGAAAGUAAUCAUCUAGUGGAUGAGUCAAUUGUAGGUCUUCGAAACAGCAAGCGAUCGACGGCCGCGAUCAUGAUCGUGACCAUUUUCUCUAAUCGUGGUUGUUGAUCAUGAUCGUCGAUCCAACAAUCGAGCGAUCAUGAUCGGGGUACCCUAGGUUAGAGCAUGCUGGAUCACACGAAGACGCACAGAUUUGGCAAGUUAUCGAGCAUCCGAGAUGCGGAGGAUAAGCUGAGAUAGAACGAGCAAAAGGAAGAUCUGAUUGCUAGACUGGCAGGAAGAGCUCCACAAGAAAAGAGGAAAGAGGAAGGAAUGGAGUGUGUUAGAACAGGAGGCAGAUCCAUAGCAGCUGCCGAAUCCGUUCGAUGUCUGGGAGCCUGGGAGUAGCAUUAUCGAUCAUUUCCAUCCGAAUCUGGUGAUUGCUUAAUGCGGCUUACGGCCUUAAGAAUGGAUCGAUGCAAUGAUCCUAUUCAUGAAACGAAUGCACGGAAUAAGAAUGUGGAACGCAAAUUAUUGGGAAGGGAAAUGAAGAAAGAAACAGUGGACGGACACCACCGGAAGGAAAAUGGGGAAACGGACCAGUUGGACGCGUGCAUCAUCGGCCGCCGGCGCUCGCACCGCGCCAGAUCUGGAGAAGGAAGAAACCUAGGAAUCCGAAGAAGAUCAGGAGGAACAGGUAAUCCAGCGCCACGAAUACCGCCGCCGUCGAUUCUUUCCGGUGCCGCGCUUGCCGUCCUGAGGAGCGAAUCCCCUUCCCGCCUUCCCCCUCGCUGCCACGCGCCGCCUCCUCCUCCUCCCCCCUCCGCCAUUGCUGCCGCUCGCGAUGGUGAUCGUCCCCAUCCCCCACCGUCGC
This 855-nucleotide long non-coding RNA is filed under the name Spirodela polyrhiza (greater duckweed). RNAcentral describes it as "long non-coding RNA (SPOL_LNC000431)". Lineage: Eukaryota; Viridiplantae; Streptophyta; Magnoliopsida; Alismatales; Araceae. The record is from RNAcentral.